AUUGGAAAGAGUUGCAAAUGAAUACAAGAAGAGCCAAUACUGAGUACAUCACCAAGUGCAUCUGCUCUUCACAAACACCAGGAGAUGCAGGGAGUGGCUACCUCUGAUGAAGGAGGUGCAGAUGUUACAUGUUGCAUAUGUGCUUCUGCUGGAAAUCAAAUAAAUUAGUGUUUAAAUCUUC
Lonchura striata (white-rumped munia) is the source of this 181-nucleotide non-coding RNA. NCBI's taxonomy places the organism in Eukaryota, Metazoa, Chordata, Aves, Passeriformes, Estrildidae. The record is from RefSeq and is a predicted model, not a curated record.